This 29-nucleotide transfer RNA is filed under the name Sanguinaria canadensis (red puccoon). Its description in RNAcentral is "partial tRNA-Phe". RNAcentral also lists the same sequence under 49 other names. The record is from RNAcentral. Lineage: Eukaryota; Viridiplantae; Streptophyta; Magnoliopsida; Ranunculales; Papaveraceae.
GUCGGGAUAGCUCAGCUGGUAGAGCAGAG